AUUGAACGCUAGCGGCAUGCCUUACACAUGCAAGUCGAACGGCAGCGGGGGAGAAGCUUGCUUUUCCUGCCGGCGAGUGGCGAACGGGUGAGUAAUACAUCGGAACGUGCCCUGUAGUGGGGGAUAACUAGUCGAAAGAUUAGCUAAUACCGCAUACGACCUGAGGGUGAAAGUGGGGGACCGCAAGGCCUCAUGCUAUAGGAGCGGCCGAUGUCUGAUUAGCUAGUUGGUGGGGUAAAGGCCUACCAAGGCGACGAUCAGUAGCUGGUCUGAGAGGACGAUCAGCCACACUGGGACUGAGACACGGCCCAGACUCCUACGGGAGGCAGCAGUGGGGAAUUUUGGACAAUGGGCGAAAGCCUGAUCCAGCAAUGCCGCGUGUGUGAAGAAGGCCUUCGGGUUGUAAAGCACUUUUGUCCGGAAAGAAAUGGCUCUGGUUAAUACCUGGGGUCGAUGACGGUACCGGAAGAAUAAGGACCGGCCAACUACGUGCCAGCCGCCGCAGUAA
Molecule: ribosomal RNA, 508 nt
Filed under: uncultured bacterium
Lineage: Bacteria
Description: partial 16S ribosomal RNA
Rfam family: Bacterial small subunit ribosomal RNA
Source: RNAcentral